Molecule: ribosomal RNA, 288 nt
Filed under: Triticum aestivum (bread wheat)
Lineage: Eukaryota; Viridiplantae; Streptophyta; Magnoliopsida; Poales; Poaceae
Description: partial small subunit ribosomal RNA
Source: RNAcentral
AUGUACAAGUGGCUUGAGAGGCCUAUCAAUGGUUGCAGCUAUAAGUGGAUAUGGGAGGAAAAAUUACCUCUCAAAAUCCAGAUUUUUCUAUGGUAGAUGGCACAUGAUGUUGUGUUGACUAGAGCCGUGAUGAAAAGGAAAAAAUGGCCGGGGAACCCUAUGUGUUCUUUUUGCAACAAUGUGGAAACUGCCACUCAUCAGUUUUUCACUUGUCCCGUUGCGCGGAUAACCUGGAGAACAAUUGGGGUGGUGCUGGGAACUGAGUUGUGCCCUAAUAAUACCUGGUAG